This is a long non-coding RNA of Loxodonta africana (African savanna elephant), 27109 nucleotides long. RefSeq lists it as uncharacterized. The transcript has 2 exons. The record is from RefSeq and is a predicted model, not a curated record. NCBI's taxonomy places the organism in Eukaryota, Metazoa, Chordata, Mammalia, Proboscidea, Elephantidae.
CCAGCCAGUUACUCCCGGAAGCGCCGGGACGGGUGGUGAGGGGCCCGGGCGGAAUGGCGCGCCUUAGAGCGGACGGUGUUCGUGCUGCUUUCCGUGCCGUGGUUUCUGAAAGGCGAGACGCCCCUCCUGUGCUGUCCUCAGAAGGGCUCUUCAGAGACCGCACCCCUAGUUUGCGGAGCAGCAGAGCCUGCCCCAGUCUGGACUAGGGACUUUAUUUCUUCCACUCUCACCACUGGCUGAAGGCAGACUCCUGUCUCCACAGACUAAGGAGGAAUUAUCAAAAUGAGCUCGAAACUCUAGAUUUGAGUUAAGUAUCACAAAUUAACACAGAGAAAUACAACUUUAACACAAAGACCUGUUUGGAGCCCCAGGUGGAAUUAAAAAAAAAAAAAACUUGAACAGAGGGAGUGAUAAAGUUUUCCUUCUUUUGCCACCCUCUCUCGGUGGUCCCAAGCUUUCUCAUCUCCCACCUCACAAGACUGUAUCAACUGCUUUGAGACUUUUAGAAUAAAGAUCCCCAGGCAUAUCACUGCUGUUACCCUGUGAGGAUUUCCCCAGUGCUGGGUUAGACUAAGACAGAAUCCUUCCAAGGCUUCCAGGGCCAGUGUACUGGACGGUCAGCACAGGGAGCCUCAGAGCCCACUUCAUUUUUCCUGCAGUUGGGCACGACCCCAGGGACAUGACCCUUGAGAGUGCUGACACUUCCUGAAGCCAGUGACCCUCCCCCUGGGCUUCUCUCUGCCUGGGUCUCAGAGUCUCUGAGGCCAACUUGUACCCUCGGAAGUGUUUCUGCUGAAGGACACGUAAACAGCACUGUGGAUUUGUGUCCUGCAGUCUGCAAAACUGCCUCCCCUGAGUGGGGUGAGGAGCUACUGAAAUACUGAAAUCACUGAAACUAGCAGAAGCCACAGUUCAUGGUCCUGGGAGAAAACUGGGAAGGACGGAGAGGUGAAGAGGCUAUAAAGGCCCAGUCGUGAAGGCGACCAUGGGCCAGGAUGUCCGGAAGUCGCAAAGCUGACCAAUGCUGAGUGCCCUAAAACCUGCCACUCCUGUGCCCAUCUUUUCUUUCAAUGGACAAAGUCUUCCCCUGCUCUUAUGUGCCUGGGCUGGAAGGGCCUUUGACUUAGAACAUGAAGCAGCCUCCAGAGCCUCUUGGGGCAAGUGAUGGUCAAGGAGGCUCUGCCUAACCCCACCCUGCCCUUCCCAGUUGUCAGAGGACCAGGAAUUUCAGUCUUCCAGCUCCUGGGCUGAUCUAGUGACUUGUAACAGGAUUUCGCUGGAACUGGAAGGUGUUGAAGACAGGAAGUACUCCUGGGUUUCUUCACCCAGCUGAAUGCCUAGUUCCUGGUCUUAUUACACGGCCUACAUUCAGGAUAAGAAGAGGCGUUUGGAGCUUUACGCAGGACCUCUUAGCAGAGGUUUCUGUUCAGGAGCGAAGAGGUAAAAAGAAAGCAGUGUCUACUAAGUCCUUUUCCAAGAGUCUCAGGAAAUUCUCAUGAAGACCCUCUCAGGUAAGGACUGACGGGAAAUGCCUUGGUUUAAUAUUAAACUUUGCCCUUGACACAUUUUGUUUAUGGAGGGCAUAUACAUAUUGUCCGCUCAAGGAAGCACUGUAGUUCUUAUCUAGACUUUAUGUAGAAUGAGUAUAUAUAAAACCUAAACUUGGUCCUUAAGCAAGGGGUUACCUCUCAGAGAAGGCCUAUGGGAAGGUUUCUACCAAAUUCUGUGGUGCUGCCAUUGCUCCAAGGAUCCCAGGUGGUGCCAAGUUUGAGCACUCGGCUGUUAACCGAAGGUUAGUUUUUUGAACCCACCAAAAGGCUCUAAGGAGUAAAGACCUGGCGAACUGCUUCCGUUAAGAUUACAAACCAGGAAACCCUAUCGGGGCAGUUCUCCUUUUACACUGGGCCACAAUGACUCAGAAACCCACUCGAUGGCACCUAGCAAUAACAACAGGAAGCCAUUGCCCCCAAUGUGCUUGAGAUGCCUUUCUGGGGAAGGUUGGCCUUCAGAGCCAGCUCAUGGCCACACGGGAACUGAGGCUCAUGUUUUGUUACCACACCUUAGUUUCAGUCAGUAAAUUUAUUUUCCAGUUUAUUCAUAAGACUUGACUGCAGACAUCUCUCAGGUAUUGUCAAAAUUAAUUCCAUUCUCUAAUAAUGAUUUGCCAGGACGUAUUUCCAAGCGUUUCCAAGAGACUGGAAAAACUUUCCAAAGAGGCUUGUCCAGCGCCAUGUUGUGCAGUAACUACAGUGUUGACGUAGUAUAUUAACCACAUAGUUUCCACGUUUUCUGCUUUCCUUAAAUAACAACUGAAAUUCCAAGUCUACCACCUGAAGUACUUCCUUUAGUGUUUCACUUAGAAGUCUGGUGGUGAUGAAUUCUCUCAGUUUUCCUUCCCCUAAGAAUGGCAUUAUUUGAGCUUUACUCCUGAAGGUAAUGAUACAUAGAUACAUGAUACAUAGAAUUCUGGGUUAGUAUUUCCAUCUUUCAGGGUUGAAAAAAUGUUGUUUCACAAUCUUUUUUUUUUUUGGCUUCCAUGGCUUCUGAUAGUGAAUACAGAGUCAUUCAAAUUGUUUUUCUCAGGUGAAAUGUGUUGUUUUCUCUCUACCUCCUUCCUGAGUAUUUUCUUGACCUUUGUUAUUCUGCAGUUGAUUAUGAUGUAUGGUAUUUUUAUGCAAGUAACCCAUGUUCUAUAUAUAUAUAUGUGUGUCAACUGUUUUUCCCCUCCCGGGUAUGUCUGUAAGUACAGUACACUGUUUUUUUCUUUUUACACGCUGCUGUUAAAAAAAAAAAAAAAUUAGAGUAAUGUACUUACAAAUAUACUUGGGAUGUGGGGUAAGGCCCACUGGGUUGGCAAAAAACCCAUAACCCGCAGAAUAUUUUUGUGCAAAUACGGUAUUGGGGCAUAGAAUUCUUUAACUUGCUGUGGUUUGCUGAACUUCUUGAAUCUGUAAGUUUAUGUCUUUCACCACAUUUGGAAAGUGUUCAGCCAGUAUUUUUUCAAAUACUAUUUUCUUCACCACACAUUUUGUCCACUUCUUCUGGAGUUCCAAUAAAUAAGCUUUUUGUCUAGUUAUUGAGGCACUGUCCAUUUUUUUCCAUAUUUUCCUCUCUGUUUGCAGAAUGGAUAUUUUCUACUGAUCUAUUUCAAGUAUUUAGUUUUUUCUCUGUCAUCGCCAUUCUGCUAUUGUGAAAAUAUCAACUGAAUUUUUUAUUUCUACCAUUGUACUUUUAACAUGUAAAAUUUUCAUUUGCAAAUAGCACCUAUUAUCUUUCCAUUUAUUUAAAAAGUGUCUGUGUUAUUUCUUGGAGAAUGAUUAGAACAGCAUUUUAAAAUCUGUGUCUUAUGAUUUUGAGACUACAAGUCCUUCAAAAAUUUUAUGCAGAAUUUUUUUUUUUUAGCAGUCAAUUGACCCAGUUAUGCUCAGGCUCCAAGUUCUGUCCCAUCUUCUGUAUUCUGUGGUUCAAAUGUUAGUUCAAUUUUUGAAGGCUUUGCAGCUGUAUUCAGAUCUAAUCUAUGUGAGCGCCACUCAGUAUGGAACCUUGAUGGCAUUCUAACCCAUAGUGCGGCUCUUAAAGGAUUUUAUAAUGCUUCUUAGGGUCAGGGCAAUGCAUAUGCAUCUCGGGGGUGAACCAGGAGUUCAUAGCAAGUCUGCAGAAUCUCUUUCUUGCACAGCCUCCUCUCUGUCUUUCUCUUCUCCUCUCUGAGUUCUGAAGGAGUGCGUUCUAACCCAUAGUACGGCUCUUAAAGGAUUUGAUAAUGCGUCUUAGGGUCAGGGCAAUGCAUAUGCAUCUGGGGGGUGAAUCAGGAGUUCAUAGCAAGUCUGCAGAAUCUCUUUCUUGCACAGCCUCCUCUCUCUCUUUCUCUUCUGCUCUCUGAGUUCUGAAGGAGUGCUUUCCUGGCCCACUGGUGGAAAUGCUGGGGCUUUAAUCUCCUCAUUCUGUUGUGCACAUAAGUGACUGGUUCUACCUAUGGGGCCAAAGCACUGGACAACCAGCCAAAAGGCUGGCAGUUUGAACCUGUCAAGAAGCGCCUCAGAAGACAAGCCCGGUGAUCUGCUUUUGAAAAGUCUCACCCUUUGAGGCAGAAUUGACUAGGUGCCAGUUAACAGCAGAGAGAGAGAAAAUGUAAUGGAGCUUUCUCUACAAUAUUUGGUUCUUCCAUACUCUGGUCAGAGAAAAGGAUUCUCCUCUGCCAGAGUUUCAGGCGUCUGCCCACCUGCCCAGCUGCUUGUCUCUCUCCUUUACGGACCUUCUAUCCCAUUUAUAUGAGAGAGGGCUUCUCUUGGAGCUAUUUCUGUCCACAACGGGUGUGCAGCUCUGAGAUUUGGGCUCAUUUAAUUUCAGCCUCUGGAAUGUUCAUACUCUAUGUUCUGGUUCCGCCCCUUCCCCAUCCACCUUCAACACUUUCCUUUGCAGAGUCCUGAGAUAGUGUCCCAUGCAUUUGUCCAGAUACUUAGUUGUCAGAUACCAGCAUAGCCAUCGGGGGCAGUGCUGUUGUGGUUGCGGGGGAGGGAGUGUACACUGAAGGAGCUGCAAGACCUGGCUGCCUUGUGUGAGCAGGACGGGGGUGUGCUGAGGAGUGGGUGCUGAAGGUGCUGAGUCAAGGGGAGUUUAAUAUAAAGUUGGGUCAAAGAGAGUUUGUUGACAAGGAUUUAUUGCCGUAGCAAGGGUUCUGGAAAUGGGUUUAAUAUGCUGUGGGAUUGCUUUUGGAAUCUUAGAAAAGGCAAUGGCCCAUAUUCUCUGAAAUCGAAAUGCCAGACCUGCUGUGUCAGAUGUUGGAAGAGGGAUUAAAAGCCUCCAAUAUGUGGGCAUGUCUGAGUUAGUCUUCUAUAAGACCAUUUCUUGGAGGUCCUGAAGGAUACCCAUUUCAUCAAAAGAAUAAGGAAUGCGGAGAUGAGGGGAGCACCAGCAAGAUAGAGCUUACCAAUAUGUAUACUUUGUAGGGAGUCCCUGGACGCCACAAACAGUUAAGUGCUUGACUGUUAUCCGAAAGUUUGGCAGUUUGAACGUACUCAGAGGGUCCUUGGAAGACAGUCCUGGCCAUCUGCUACUAAAGGAUGAAAGCCUUAAAAACACUCUUGAACAGUUAGUUCUACUAUGCCCACAUGGGGUGGUCAUGAGUCAGAAAUGACUUGAUGACAACUAACAGCAACAAUCGUCUAUAGGCUCAGGUUGUUAGUGGGAGCUGGGCUGCCUAGUAGCAAUGCAAAUCAUGGGAUCCCAGCUCAACAGAGGCCAGGUGGAAGUACUUAACUGUCAGAAACAAGUUGUGUGUGAUUCCAAUAAUGGUCAGCAGGUCAGAGUAGUAGUUAUCUAUUGGGGCAUAAUAGAUUCUCCCCAAACUUAGCAGGUGUGAGAUAAAUGGAAAAUUAAUAUUCAACUCAUUCUGAUAAAUUUGGAACUAGACAAAAAUUUUGGUAUCACUCAACACAGUUUUAAGGUGAAGGAAUAAACUAGAAAAUUUAAAUAACUAGUAUAAGUAUAAUAAGAGAUUUUUCAAAGAAUGAUGAUAUAAUUGCAUACCUGAAUAAAAGACAAAUACAUCACAAUCAAUGAUUUCUCUCCAGUAUAGACAUGAGGGUCUCAAAUUGGCAAGGGUGAGAAGGGCAGACCGUUCUCUUUCCCCUACUACUUGACUGGAUCAAACUGUGUUCAAAACUGUAAAAUAUUUAGGAAAACAUUGUUUUGACCAGAGCAGCAAAGGACUUCUAUGAUGAAAACUAAUGUACUAAAAUACAUAAAAUGAAACCUGAAUAUAUGCAAAAAAUAUGCCAUAUUUUCAAAUGAGAAGUCUUGUCAAUCAAAUGGAGGUCCCUAAAACUAAUAUAUAAGUGGAAUGUAUUUCCAGUUGGAAUAUUAAGAUAGUUGUUUUUGAAUUGUAUACAGUAAUCAUAUGCUACAAAUAGUACAGUAGAUAGCAGAGGAUGUUGCUGGUGUUAGGAGACUUGGAGUCCAUUUCUGACUCAUAGUGAUCCCAUUUCACUGCCCCAUAGGGUUUUCUAGGCUGUGAUCAUUAUGGGAGCAGAACAACAGGUCUUUCCCCUCAGUGCCCCCUGGUGGGUUCGACCUGCCAAACCUUCUUUGGAUUAGCAGAUGAGCACUUAAUCACUACAACACUACGGCUGCUUUAAAAGGUAUAGAGAAGAAAAACAUGAAAAAGCAGGAUACUGACAGGUGUCUACCUCUUCAGGUAACAGAACAAAUUGAUAUUACAUAGCACAGAAACUGACAAGUCGACCAAUGAAACAAAAUCUGCUAAGAAGUCACAAUAACCAUUGAUACAAAGGUGGUAUUUUGAGAAAAUUAUAUUUAUUUAAUAAACAGUGCUGACUCAAGUGAUCGUUCUGGGGGACAAAGCUUGCAAAAAUGUGAUACACAAAUGAUAGAUUUGGAAAAUCAUGUGAAAUGGAGAUGACAAGACUUAAUAACAAUUUCCAUUUUACACAGAAGGAUAAAAGUUAAGCACUUGAAAAAUGAGCAGUGAAUUCAAACAGAUCGUUCACAGCAAAUCCACAUGCCCAAUAAACAUAGUCCAAGUUGCUCAAAAACACUGGUAGUUAAGAAAAUAUCAAAGUCCCAGUGAAACUGGCACAAUUUAAAAAUCAACACCAUCUAUGGCUGGCUGGGCUGUGGGGAGAAGGAUACCCUGAGACAUGGCUGGAAAGGUGCUUUAGGACAGCCUCUAGGGGAAAGACAUGGCCAUGGCUCUGUACUUUAAAAACAUACUUUGAGCUGGAAAUCUCACUCUAUGGAGUCUAUUCCACAGAAACAGAUCCUGUAGUAUACAACUGAUAGUUAUUAUUAGUGUUGACCAAACAUUGACUGUACAUUGAUAGUUGAAUGAUAGAUAACUUAUGGUAAAGCUACAUCAUCAAUAAAUGAGUUGUAGUAGUUGAGUGGGAAAAAUCUCUGUGAAGUAUUAUUGAAGUAUUACUGAAAAAAUCAAGGUGCAUGCAGAGAAGUGUAUAUAAAAUGAUCACAUCUGGGUUAAACAAUAUCAAUUGUUUGAAUAUGCUUGAAUACCUGUUUAUGUUUAUGAGUGUGUAUAAGUCCGUGUGCUUGUUUAAGCAAGGAUAAGAGAGAGUACUUACCACAUUGUUAACCUGAAUUAUCUUGGAUUCACUUGCAGGAAAGAACAGAGGGAGGAGAGGUAGAACACGCAGGAAGAGUGGACUUAAAAAGCAUGGAUGAUAAUGUUUCCAUCUUAGUAGUGUUAUGUAUGGAUGAACAAAUCUGUCUUAAAGGGAGAAAGCCAGAAUGUUCCUUAGAAGCAAGGAUGGCUUUGGCCAUGUUAUCAAGAGGGAGGGACCAGUCCCUGGAAAAGGACAUCAUGCUUGGUAAAGCAGAGGUCCAGUGAAAAAGAGGAAGACCCUCAAUGAGAUUGAUACAGUGGCUGCAACAGUGUGCUCAAAUAGAGCAAAGAUUAUUAGGAUUGCACAUGACCGGGUGGUGUUUUGUUCUGUGGUGCAAAGGGCCACUGUGAGUCAGAACUGACUUGAUAGCUUCUGACAACAACAUGUAGAAGUCCAGAUAAAGUGUACUGAAUUGAUAUCAUCUAUUUAAAUUAUUCAUGUAAGUUAAAAGAUCAAAAAAUAUAGUGUUAGUGCCAUAUCUAAUGACUUAAAGAGAAUCAAGGUAGAAUAUUAAGUGAAAUAAGGGGCGAGAGCAUUGUGGGUGGAGUGUGACCAGGCUUUCAUAAAAGUAAACACCCCAGCAGAUGUACUUGUGUACCUGUGACUGUGUGUAUGCGUCCCUGCAGAGAGGUGUAGGGAAGGAUACACGUGUGUCUAUUACCAUCGGAUACCUUGUGGGAGCGGGACCAAAUUACAUAUGAGGGUGGGACCCUGACAUAAAUUUUUUUGUCAUACAAAUCUGUGAUCUUGCAAAUGUGAUAAAAAGCAAUUUCAGAGCUUUGGAAAUUCAUAAACAUCAUAGAUAUAUGUAUAUUUUAACGUGUUUUGUUAGAUAUUUAAAAUAGGUGAAAAUUCUCCAGAAUGACAGACAAAAGAUUUGAAUCACUGGAAGGACAGCACACCACAGAGAGUAAUAAUCAGAUCCAGUGGAUUUCUUGUUGUUCUUGGAGGCAGUGAGUUCUUCUGGUCUCUAUAACUGGAAAUGACCAAAAAUAAUUUUGGGAAGUCAGUAGAGUUACCCCUCAAACACGUCUUGCAAGCACACGUCUACAGCUAAAUUCAGAAGGCUGGAUGCCAUGUGCAAUUCACUAGGUAACUCAUGCGCCUCUAGAAGAUUCUCUUUCCCGGAUAUGCUGCUUCCACCUCCUCCCUGCCUAGCCCCACUGGAUAACCCGCCUUUGUGCAUUCUAGGCCCCAUUCAGGUCUGAGCCUAGAUCAUAGAGGACAUCAACUGGGAAGGUAGCUUUUAAGAAGAAAGAUGUUGAUGAAAAGAUUUCAGAAAGCAGCACCUCCCCAGCCAUCCUCUCCCCAGCCUGGGAAUACCAACCCCUCCCACCCUGAUACCUCUGAGAAUCUCUGAUUUUUCGUUUUGGAUCCUUAGGAGACUGCAGAAUUUACCUGGUCUGAACACCUUGGUUCUUCUCUGCCUCUGACCCUCUGCCUCGCAGGAGCCGUCUCUGUCACUCUGAGGAAUACACACAGGACAGACUGUGGAUGGAGGUGCCCAUCCUAGAGGCCCUGCCCUCCAUUCCUCUGCCCCUGGGGGGUUCCCUGUGAUACUUGUGGUCUCAUUUCCCAGAGAGAUGGAUACACCCCUGUCAUGUCCAGGGCUUCCCCAGACUUGGGAUUUGAUGUCGCGACUGAGACUGGGGCUUUGUUGUCCACUGUUGAGUCUGGCCCUGAAUCUGCCCCUUCCCACCAUUACCUCUGAUCACCUGUGUUCUCGCUGUUCUCCCUGGGUUUGAAGCCUGUCCUCUCUUUUGGUUCUUUCACCUCAGAGGGCCUUUUUCUUCCAGUUCUUUGACCUCGCGACAGGUCAGAUUUGACCACAGGAAAACAAAAAGAAAAUUAGCAAGUUUGUUUGACAUGUCAAGAACCGGAAUGUACAGCUUGAUUUAGGCGAAGAAAAAGUUCCAAAGCUCUACCCCUUCCCCUAGGACAUGCUCUACAGGAAAUAUCCUGCAAGCCCUGGAUCAACUCUUAUCCAGAAACGGUUAACACCCAGGGGGAUUUUUCUACACCACCUCCCACUUACAUUCCCCUAAUGUGGCAAAAAGGAUGCAUCCCAAUCAUAAACCCAAAUUCACCGUAGGAGACCAGAAGACAUGGCUGGGGUGAGUUCAUUUUCCUUCAACCUGCCCUCCUCUCCUCCUACCAAGCCCUGCCUCUUUCUCUGCCUCUAUACUGCUGGGAAGGGACCCAGAGUUGUUUGUUUAGGGCUUUAUGUCCACUGCUCACCUGCAGACAUGUUUCCCACCAGCCUGACAUCUCUCUGAUUCCUUCUCCUCCAAAGAACUCAGUGACACCCCCUUCACCAUCACACCUCAGCAGGGCCCCCCCCAAUCCUCCCAAGUCCCACUGAAAUCCCAUUUCCCUUUCCCUAUUUAUGCUGCGCUCAUCCUUAGGGUCCCAAGAUCUCACCAUCCAGAUGAGGCCUGUCCUGUCCUCUCCUGGGUCAGGGGAGCCUCUGAGGGGACCUGGUGUCUGUGGUCAGCUAUCUGGGGCUUCUUCCAUCCAGAUCCCCCUUAGGGCUGGAGUUCUCUGUGCACUUAGGUUGGGAGGGUUGGGGUCACAGUGGAAGGAGGGUAUGAUCUUCCACGGGGGCUGGGUUAAACGAACCUGAAUGGAGGUCUCUCCUGAAGGGCCCACGUUUCCAGCCCAAAGGCCCUGCUCCUCCUAUUCCUGGGGUUCUAGAACGUCUUCAGGCGCUUCCCCCUCUGGCCUCGGUGGUGUGCCUGCUCCUUCUGCAGCCUGGUCUCCUGCCUCUUCAGCCUGUCCAGCUGGUGCCUCAGCCUCUUCAGUUCUUCUCUCUGCUUCUCCAGCUGCUCCUCCAGGCGUCUGCAGACCGCUCUCUUCUCCCUCACCUCCCUCUUCUUGGCCGCCAUCAGGCAACGCCUGGCCAGCUGGUGGCAGCGUCUGGGCCUGCGCUGCACUGAGCCUGGCAGCCGCCUCUCCAGCAGCUCUUCAAAGAAGACCCGGCAGCUGAAGCCCUGAGUCACACCAUGCUCCGCAUGGGCCACGAGGGCUUCCCCGGACUCGAACACGCGGCAGCAGGCCAUGCAGCGGAAGCCGCGCUCACGGGUCACCAGCCACUCCGGGGUGGUUGCGCGGGGGCUCUCCCCAUGCUCCUCCCCUUGGUCGGUGGGCUCCUGGGUACAGGUCUGGGGCCCCUCCUGCCAGGGCUCCAGGGUGCUGACCAGGGACUCAGUGUUGGCCAGACUGGGGGCAGAGCCGAUGGUGCUCUCCUCAGAGAGCUCGGCUUCAAAGACCUGGGGCAUCUUGCCCACGGGGGCAAAGGAGGUUUUGGUCUGCCAGGAGACCGCCACCCCCUUGACCGUGCGCACCUUGGUGAAAUAUGCACACCUGACCCAUCGCUUUCCUGGGGCAGCCCCGUAGCUGGAGGAGUGAGAGGUCUGCUCGGUGAAAGAUGACAGAAAAGAGUUCUCAGAUUGUUUUGGAAUCUUCCUGGGCCUGGAGCUUCGACUUUUUUCAUGGCAUGUUGUUGACUGUUGCACAUUUUCCUCUUGGAUAGAGACCUCUGAGAAUAGAGAGUUAAUUUACUUGAGCUUUCAGGGUCCUUAUUCUCACCUGUGACCCCAAAUCUUUGGUCAUAGGGACCCCUGGAGGCCUUUCCAUUACCACCUCCUCCACCUCUACAGACCCCAUGGUUUCUUUCUUCUUCCCCAGAGACCCACCACCCUUGGGGGCACUGCUGUGGAAGACAAAGUCUGCAUUGUAAAGUGGCACUGUUUAUGGUAGUUCAUUUUUUAAGAAGUUAUUUUUCUUUAAUUCCACAUUUAUUGAAUUCCAAUGAAUUUGUUCCUUUGGAACUUAGAAAUGACCUCAUUCCCAUGAAGCUUCAAAAUAAAUGUGUGACUUGAUGUUUUGUAUGCGGGUGAUAUUCUUAGUAAAUUUGGAGGGUAAGCACUCCAGAGCAAUGGUCACCUCUUUUCAUCCUCUUUUUACUGAAAGGCUUUUUAUAGAGGAGUUAUACGUAAAGAGAAGAAUGUGUAUAUUUAGUUAUGAUUCUUACAUGUAUACCUCUUCCUUGCACCCUUCUUAACCAGCCACAGUAGAAGAUGAAAAUUGUUUUUCUCAGAAUAGAAGCCCAGUCCUUAGUAGAUGAAGUGAGGCAGAAAGAGAUGGCCAUAUCUGAGAACCUUGAUGCGAGAACUUCAGAUGGAGAACACACAGCCUCCUCCGCUGUGUAUGUCUCAGUGGGUUGUCUGUGUCAACCUAAAGGUCUGUGUAUGUUUCUGAAUCUGUGGGAAGGACUGCAGAGUUCAGGAUGCAGAAAGAGAUGGAGCUAGGUCGGGUGCAUUGGAUGGAGGGAAAGCCUGAGAGAGAGACAAGAUUCAGAGAUGGAACAUGCCAGCAGUGUGUUAGAAGGAUACAGAGAUCAAGGAGGGAGCAGAAAGCAGGGCUCAGCCACUGAAGGGCAGAAUGGGGCAGCAACCAAGAAGACAAAGGGGGGGCAGACUAGUCGGAGAAAGAAUGGAUAACUAAGAAUGAUAGCAGAAACUGAGGUUAGCUAUAGUUGGAAUUUUAAAAUUCUUUCCUGCUAGACUUUGAAAAUAUAAUGCUAAAUGGAAUAAGUUAGUAUUUGCCCUAAGUAUAGGGCAAAUACUGUACGAUCUGACUUACAUGAAAUAAGCAAAUAUAUAGAAAGCAAGGAUUAUUGGUCGUUGCCAGGUGUGGGCAGGGGGAAGGGGAAGUUUUUCCACUGGGGCAUUGAGGUUAUGUUAAUGGUUGUAGAAAAGUUUGGAGAAGGAUAUUGAGAAUGGUUAUAUGACUUGAAGAAUGUAAUAAGUAUCACUGACUCAUACAUUAGAAAUUAUUCAGUUAUGUUUUAUGUAUAUUUUCAAGACAAUUUAAAAAAAUAAAACUUUUCAAUUACAAGAGAAAAAAAAACGAUCUAUACUAUAGCUGUCUUUACCUAGAAGAAAUGUUAAACCCUUAGGUAAAGAUGGUCAGGAGACCUUGGAGAAGGGAAAUCCCUAGAGCUAGAGGGGCAGGGCCUUCCUGGACCUUCUUCUGCCUGAGUCCAGGCUGAGGACUGUGGCAGCUUACAUUGACUGGGAACCUUGAAUGAAUGUGUCGUACUGUGCUCCAUCACACCACCCACUCCCAAAACCUCCUGAUAAAUUUGAUAUAUUUUUUUAAUUCGCAUGAUAUAUUAAUUCAUUCUCAUGAAAAAAUUAAGUACAAGACUCUGUAACCACCCUUCUCCCUGGUUCUAUACCCACUGCCCCAGUUGCCCACCUGCGUUCUUUCCACUAACAAAGCAGGAGAGUUCACAAAUCUGACUUGUCUGCUACUGUUACGGAAAGCCCCUCAGAUGACAGUAGAAUUCUAUACUUCACUCACAUAUUUAUUCCUUCAUUUAUUUAUUCACAGUAUAAUUUCUUACUGUUUACUAAUGGACAGGAAGUUUUUUCAGGUGAAAGCCUCGGUGAUACCUUGUGGUCCUUGUUUCCGGGGUGAAUCAAACCCCUUGCUGCCCAGCACCCAUCGCACAGACUGAAUUUUCCUCCCACCCUUACCUCGGGCCUUAGAGAAAGGCCUCUUCCUCACGUAUUGCCGCUCCAUUCUGGCUGGGUGAAGAUGAACCACGAAGGAUGGUCACCGGCAAGAUGUUUCUCCUCCUCCCACGUAGAGAUGAUGUCCCAAACUCUCACAAGUUGGGGACCUUGAUGUAGGCAGAACCGUUUGUAAUUUGGUAUCCAAAGUCGCUCUCCCACAGGAGACCUCGGACCCACAACCUCUCCAAAGAGCAGUUGGGAUCUGAGUGAGCACCAAGGUUUCCAGUAACUCUUGUGUGACAUCAUCGCUGACAUCGCUCAGUUCCAAGGGCCCAGUUUGAAUCUAAACAGCGCACUAGGAAAAAAUAUGGCAACUGUUGUGGGAGAGGCUAGGAGGCUGGGAGGAGGGAAAUUAUAUCUUAAAAAUGAAUUGAAAUGUUCACUUAAAGAAGUCAACAUCUAAGAGGAAGGAAACUGUGAGUUGAGGAAAUAGAAGAGUAUAAUGAGUCGCUGUUUCUCCCAAACCUCUUCUCUGGCCCUGAAUCAAAUCUCUCCAGCCCUAGAAACACAAUGUCCACUCUGAACACCUCUCAGGCCCCCUUUGCCACUUAGGCUUCACACAGGCUGUUCCCUCUGACUAGUAGACGUUCUCUCCCUUCCUGUUGACUGGUUCCUCCUCCAAGGUACCCAGUCUGUGCUUCUGGUUUAUGUAUUCAGAGGACCUAGUAAUCUUUUAGUAAUCCUCCAUCAUAGCACUGAGUGAUAGGAGAUGCUCAAUUUCCAAUUUGUGUCUUCCAAAUGUGUUGUAAAUAACUUGGGGACAAAGAUGAGGUCUGCCUCAUAUUUGGCAGUCCCAGAAAGUGAGACAGAACCCCACCCAUAGGAGAUACCCAAUAUAUAUCUAUUGAUUAAAUAAAAGAAAACUCUUCCAAAAGACUCACCCUUCGUAGCCAUCCAUGUACAAUGGAGUUUUUGGUCUGUUGCCUGGAGGUACCAUCACUCAGUGGUGGUGUCUAGGCCACUCUCUCUUGACCUCCUGACUCUAAACCCUGUGAAGCCUCUUGGCCUGUCCACACGCUUCUCCCUUGGAGCCACUAAAAAGGGUAGGAUUACAUCAUCACAGAAAAGCACUGAGACUCCAGACGUCUAUGGUCAACCUGCCUGGGAGGCUUAGGAGAGCCCUCGGGGAAAGGUCCACUGUCCUCUGCUUGAUCUCCUUUUUUGUCCAGGGGGCAAUUAGAAAAGGAACAAGCAAAUUGUUGAAACAUUUUAAGGCAGGGUUUGGGAAGUUGUGCUUGGUAGGUAGAGGAGAGCCUGAGGAUUUGAAGGAAAAUGAAAGAUGUCAACAUGGGAGCAGAGGGCUCGCUUUGUGUGACGACAGAUGGUAGAAUGUGGGCAAGUGGUUGGAAAUAUAUAAAAAAAGAAAAUCUCCUAACCAUCCACUCGUAUUUCAAAAUUUAGGUCAAGCAUCACUUCCUGGUGGAGCCUUUCCGACCCUACACCUGGUAGAAUUUCCCAACCGUGCUCCACACUCUAUUGUAUUUAAGAAACGCUUGUGCCACAACUAGGGACAAACUUGAUUGCAUUUACAUGUUGUGAUGGAUAGCAAAAAUGGCCACAUGUUCUAAUAUGUAUGUAUCCAUACAUAUUAUAUGACCUACAGCUCCCUUUCUGAAGAGCAAGAUUCCUCCUCCAGUCCUUGAAUUUGGACUGAUCUAUGAUUCCUUUGGCCUUUGGGACAGUGUAAAGACCAAUAGAAGCAGAGACCGAAUAUAAUUAGACACAUCGUGACUUGCUCUCUUACCAAAAAUGAAACCCAUCACUCUCAAGUAUAUUCUAACUCAUAGUGACCCUGAAGGACAGAGUAGAACUGCCCCAUAGGGUUUCCAAGGCUGUAAUCUUUACAGAAGGAGAGUGCCAUGUCUUUCUUCUGCAGAGCAGCUGGUGGGUACAAACUGAUUACCUUUCCUUUAGCAACUGAGCCCUUAACCACUGCACCACCAGGGCUCCUCCUUGCCCUCUUGCUGCUCUUCAAACACUGAGAACCCAUGGGAACAGCCCAGGCCACCCUAAUAAAUGACAAGAGACCAUUAGAGAGAGAAUCCAGCUGAGAAGAUUUCAGGCCCUCUGCCCGCCAGCUGACAUGGUGGCUGAUUCCAGAUACAUGAGGGCGCCCAGCCGAGAGCGGCUGAGUCUGCCCCAGACCAGAAGAACCCCAAACUGCCAACCUGCAAAACUGUGAGUGAAGUAACUGCUUGUUCUUUUAAGGCACUUCAUUUUUGGGUCAUUUGUUAUACAGCAAUUGAUAACUGAUUUGUUAACUGGGCUGUUUCUCUCACCAGACUGCAAGGAAUCUUUUCUUAAUCAUUUCUGUAUCAACAGUAUCUGGCAGAGGGUUGUUCAUGUGGUCAUUAGACAGUAGAAAUUUCUUCAUUUACAUAAUUUAAAAGUUUCUAUCAUUAUGUUUUAACUUUUAUAAAUAAGAUAUGGCUGGAUUUGCAAGUCUAAGCUGAGUGUACAUGUUUUUUCCUUAGGUAUUAAUCCCUUUUUCUUGCUAUUACUCAUACAUUUAGACAUAAUUCCAAUAUUAUACUUCAUAUUCACUGUUCUUUUUUUUUAUUAUUAUUAUUCUGCCUUUCCUGUUUUUUUUUUAUUGGAAUGGUGAAAUUUCUCUUACUUUCUUUUUCCUUCUAGCGAUUUGAAACUUGUAUUUUCAAUUCCUAUUCUUUUAUAGCAAACAUGAGAUCUUUGAACAUUUUAAUAUUUGGUAUAUUGUAUCAAGUUCAUAUCUCAGUUCUCCUCUCAAACAGUAAUUUUUUGCUAGCUGCCAUUGAGGUGACUCCGACUAAUGGUGAACUUAGGUAACACAGAACUAAAGUUUGCCAGGUCCUGUGUCAUCCUCACAAGUGCCAGCAAUUUAGAUUCCAUCAUUAUGGCUAAUGUGCCAGUCCAUCUCACCAAGGGUCUCCUACGGCCUUGUUGGCCUUCUUCUUCACCAACCAUGAUAUUCUCCUCUAGGACUGAUUAAUCUGUCCUGAUGACAUGUCCAAAGCAAGUGAAUUGGACAGUAUUCUCUUGUGAUCUGUAAGGGUUUAAUUGGCUAAUUUUCAGAAGUAAAUCUCCAGGUCUUUCUUCCUAGUGUGUCUUAGUCUUGAAGCUCCACUGAAACCUGUCCACCAUGGAUAACCCUGUUGGUGUUUAAAAUACUGGUGGCCUAGCUUCCAGCAUCAUAGCAACAUCCAAACCACCACAGUACAGCAAACUAAGAGACAGGCAGUAAGCCGAACAGGGUAUUGUUGUUGUUAGGUGUCAUCAGGUCAGUUCUAAUUUAUAGUGACCCUAUAUACAGCAGAACAAAACACUGGCCAGUCUUGUGCCAUUCUCACACUUGUUAUUAUGCUAGAGCCCAUUGUUGCAGCCACUGUGUCAAUCCAUCUCACUGAGGGUCUUCCUCUUUUUCACUGUCUACUUUAUCAAGCAUAAUGUCCUUCUCCAGGGCCUGGUCACCGCUGAUAACAUGUCCAAAGCGUGUGAGACAAACACUCACCAUCUGUGCUUGUAAGGAAUAUUCUGGCUGUACUUCCUCCAAGACAGAUUUGUUUGUUCUUCUGGCAGUCUGUGGUAUAUUCAAUAUUGUUCACCAACACCAUAAUUCAAAGGCAGCAUUUCUUCUUCGGUUUCCCUUAUUCAUUGUCCAGCUUUCACAUGCGUAUGAGGCGUUUGAAAAUGUCAUGGCUUGUGUCAGGCACACCUUAGCCUUCAGAGUGACAUCUGUGCUUGUCACCAGCUUAAAGAGUUCUUUUGCAGCAGAUUUGCAAUACAUCAUUUGAUUCCUUGAUUGCUGCUUCCAUGAGCGUGGACUGGGGAACCAAAUAAAAUGAGAUCCUUGAUAACUUCAAUCUUUUCUCUGUUUAUCAUGAUGUUGCUUAUUGGUCCAGUUGUGAAGAUUUUUGUUUUCUUUAUGUUGAGGUGCAACCCAUACUGAAGGUUGUAGUCUUUGAUAUUCACCACUAAGUGCUUCAGGUCCUCUUCACUUUCACCAAGUUUGUGUUAUCUGCAUAUCGUAGGUUGUUAAUGAAUCUUCCUCUAAGCCUAAUGCCACGUUCUUCUUCAUAGAGUGCAGCUUUUUGGAUUAUUUGCUCAGCAUACAGAUUGAAUAAAUGUAAUGAAAGGAUAGAACCCUGACACAAACUAUUCCUGAUCUUAAACCACAUAGUGCCCCUUGUUCUCUCUGAAAAACUGCCUCGUGGUCUAUGUACAGGUUUCAAAUGAGCAAACUUAAGUGUUCUAGAAUUUCCAUUCUUUGAAGAGUUAUCCAUAAUUUGUUAUGAUUCACACAGUAUAAUGCCAUUUCAUAGUCAAUAAAACACAUGGAAACAUCUUUCUGGUAUUCUGGUAUUCUCUGCUUUGAGCCCAGAUCCAUCAGACAUCAGCAAUGAUAUUCCUCAUUCCAUACCCUCUUCUGAAUCUGACUUGAAUUUCUGUUGCAACUUCUUUUUUUUUUUUUUAAUAACUUUUAUUAAGCUUCAAGUGAACGUUUACAAAUCCAAUCAGUCUGUCACAUAUAAGUUUACAUACAUCUCACUCCCUACUCCCACUUGCUCUCCCCCUCUUGAGUCAGCCCUUUCAGUCUCUCCUUUCUUGACAAUUUUUGCCUGCUUCCCUCUCUCUCUAUCCUCCCAUCCCCCCUCCAGACAAGAGUUGCCAACACAAUCUCAAGUGUCCACCUGAUAUAAUUAGCUCACUCUUCAUCAGCGUCUCUCUCCCACCCACUGACCAGUCCCUUUCAUUUCUGAUGAGUUGUCUUCAGGGAUGGUUCCUGUCCUGUGUCAACAGAAGGUCUGGGGAGCAUGGCCGCCGGGAUUCCUCCAGUCUCAGUCAGACCAUUAAGUUUGGUCUUUUUAUGAGAAUUUGGGGUCUGUAUCCCACUGAUCUCCUGCUCCCUCAGGGGUCCUCUGCUGUGCUCCCUGUCAGGGCAGUCAUCGAUUGUGGCCGGGCAGCAACUAGUUCUUCUGGUCUCAGGAUGAUGUAGGUCUCUGGUUCAUGUGGCCCUUUCUGUCUCUUGGGCUCUUAGUUGUCGUGUGGCCUUGGUGUUCUUCAUUUUCCUUUGCUCCAGAUGGGUUGAGACCAAUUGAUGCAUCUUAGAUGGCCGCUUGUUAGCAUUUAAGACCCCAGACGCCACAUUUCAAAGUGGGAUGCAGAAUGAUUUCAUAAUAGAAUUAUUUUGCCAAUUGACUGCAACUUCUUUUUAAUGAUCUUCAGCAAAAUAUUACUGGGUUUUGAUAUUAAUGAUAUUGUUUGAUAGUUUCUGAAUUUUGUUGAAUCACUUUCUUUGGAAUGUGCACAAACAUGGAUCUCGUCCAAUCGGAUGGCUAAAUUAUUCGGCAUAGACGAUUGAGCACCUCCAGUGCUGCAUCUGUUUGUUGAAACAUCUCAACUGGUACCUGUCAGUUCUUGGAGUCUUGUUUUUUGCCAAUGCCUUCAGUGAAGCUUGGACUUCUUCCUUCAAUACCAUCAGUUCUUGAUGACAUGCUACCUCCUGAAAUGGUUGAACAUUGACCCAUGCUUUUGUGUGUGUGUGUGUGUUUGUGUGUGUGUGUCUGUGCAGUGACCCUGUGUAUUCUUUCCAUCUUAUUUUGAUGCUUCCUGUGUUGUUCAAUAUUUUGCCCGUACAAUCCUUCACUAUUGCAUCUCGAGGCUUGGAUUUUUUCUUCAGUUCCUUUAGCUUGAGAGAUGCCAAGCAUGUUCUUCCCUUUUGUUUUUCUAACGCCAAGUCUUUGCGCAUGUCAUUAUCAUACUUUGUCUUCUCGAGCCGCCCUUUGUAAAUCUUCUCUUCAGCUCUUCUACUUCAUCAUUUCUUUCAUUUCCUUUAGCUACUUUACGUUCAAGAGCAAGUUUCAGAGUAUCUCUGACAUUCAUAUUGGUCUUUUCUUUCAGUAUAAGGGCUGUAUUUGAGGGUACCAUCAUUUUUAUAACUUGCAAGUAUCCUCUGUCAGGGCAGUUAUUGACUGUAGCUGCGCACCACCUAGUUCUUCUGGUUUCAGGCUGAUGGCGUCUCUGGUUUAUGUGGCCAUUAAGGGAAGACCUGUUAUUCAAGGAAUUAUACUUAGAGCAAAAUUUGUAUAUUUAUGUAUAAUUUAAAGCUUCUCCUUUAAGAUUGCCUUUCCCUGAACAGAAAGCUCUCACCAUGUCAUUAUGAGAAAUACUCUUUCAGUGUGAGGCAGAAAGAGAUGUCCAUAUUUGAAAGUCCGAUGGUACAAAUCUCAGUAGCCAAGACACAAUCACAUCAACUGUGUGUGUGGGUGGGUUGUAUAUGUCAACAUAAGGGUCUGUAUUUUUCUGAGUAUGAAGGUAGGAUUGGCGAGUUAAGGAAGAAAGAUAUGAAAGCAUCUUGGGAGUGGAGUGCAAGCUCCGUGACAGAAGCUGCAGGAGGGGAUCUCUCAAGAGGGUUUUAGAGGCCAGUUAGAAACCUAGGAAGCAAAAGGAAAUAGGGCCAGUGGAGGGCAGCGCUAGAGUAGUGGUGGGGGGUAGCAAAAAUAAUGGUAGUGAAGAGGGCAACAAAACUGCCCUGAAAGGAGUGGCAAAUUAAAGAUCCUAGACAAAAUUCAGGUUAAGAAAAGUAGGAAUGUAAAAAAAUUCUAUCCUUUAGCUCUCUUUGCUGUGAGGGUUUUUUAGGCCCUUCGGGAGAUGUGGGGAGAAGACAUAGGAGGAGAAGGGGAGUUCCUGAAUCUAGGGGAGGAGUCUGCAAGCCAUCUUCUGCCCUCAAUGAUGUGGGCUCUGGGCUCCUUCAACUUCUCACUCCCAGAACCUCCUGAAAUAUUUUCUUAAUUCUUCACAUAGUACAUUAAUAUCAUGUCAUUAGAAAAUAUAAUAAGUACGCUUCUCUCUAACCACCCUUUCCCCCAUCGUAUACUCUCUGCACUAGUUGUCCACUGGCUUCCUUCCUUUCCACCAGGUACAGAGCCUAAACAACAGAGUGCCUGGAAAGCUCUCGAACUCCCAGUGAAUUCUGUAGCUUGAUCCCUCACUUAUUCCUACAUUUCUUAUUGAUAUAAGAAUUUGGUUAAUUGCCUACCAAAUGACAGGAAAUGCUUUCUCAGGGCGCUCCUCCUUAUGACCUUAUCCAUUCCCAAUUCCUUCAUCUUGUCCUAUCACGGCUCUCUUUUCUGGUGGAAACCAGACCCUUUGUUCCGUAACACACAUCAAUCUGGGACAAUUUUUCCUCUCACCCUUAUCUAGAGUCUUAGAGAAAGGCCUCUUCCUUGUGUAUCACUGUUUCAUCCUCUCUGGGUGAAGAUGUCCAAUCAUAGUGAUGUUCUGAAGGAUCUUUAUCCCUUUUCCCAGUUCUUCAUGAUGCAUGACCGUUUGAUGACUUGGGGACCCCGGUUUAGUCCAGAAUUUCUGUGAUAGAGUAGUUCCAGGUGCUCUCCCACAGGAUCUCAGAUCGACACCCUCUCCAAAAGAGUAGGUGAGAUCAGCAUGAACGGCAUGGCUUCCAUAACCCUGUGUGACAUCAUUCCUGACAUUGCUCAGUUCCAUGAGCCCACUUUAAAUAGAAACACAGCAAAAACAAAAAUAUGAAACAGUUCAAGUAGGAGCUUGAAUACUGCCAGUCCCAGACUGGGAAAAGGGGGCUUAGAUAUAAAAAAGGAAUUGCAACUUUUCUCUGCACUCCAUUCGUUACUAUCCCUUGGUGGGGAGAGAGAGAGUACAGGGAAUCGUUACAGUGUGACCAGGAGUUGAUUUGUCCAAAACUUUUCAUUUGACUCUCUUGGAAUCAUGUCUCUCCGGCCCUGGUCAUACAAUGUCCGCUCUGAACACCUCUCAGGUCUCCUUAGCCUCUGGGGCUUCACACAGGCUCUUCCCCGUGACUAGAUUUUCUCUCCCAUCCCAUCUGAUGGCCUACUCUCUGGUGAAGCAUGGUGGUUAAGAGAACUGACCCCAUUGGAACAGAUUGGGCUUAUGAGCUCACCAUAAAAUGCUAAGACUCAGGAAUUUGUGGUCAGCCAGAAUGGGAGGUUUAGGAGUUGACUUGGGGAAAGUCCAUGACCUCUGCAUCUUCCAGGCUCUGCUUUCACUCUGGAGCCCAUUUAGAAAAGGAGCUGGUAAAUGGAGACAGCAUUUGAGGAAGCAAUUAAGAACGUUGGGGUGCUGAUGACUUCUCAGAGGAAAAUAAAAGUUUCAACAGGGAAAUGCUAAGGUCUACUCUUGUAUGACUCCAAACUAUAAAUAGGGACGAGUGGUUGGAAAACAGUAGAACAAAAGAUGAUCUGCAUCUGGUCACAAAUGUUUCAGAUGCCUCAGUGGCUUCAGCCUGUCUCCUCAGACUUCUCUCUGGAGAAGACAUGGGGCUUCCUGGACCCGGGCCUUUUGUCACGCCUUAACUAUCCAAUCAUAUUCUCAACUUGGUUCAGACAUCACUUCCCUAAAUAUCCUCCUGGUAGAUUUCUUCACUUCUUGCUCCCUACUCCAUUGUACCUGCAAAACCCUUUACCACAGCAUAAAACACAAUUGCAUUUACUUUUUGUGGUUAAUGUAAGAAAUGUCUACACAUUCAUUCUCUCUCUGUGCCCAUGCCUUCUAUGAGACUCUGGAGCGCCUUUCAUUAGCAGUAGGAGUCUUUCUCCAUCCCUUAGUUGGGGCUGACAUUAUUGUUUUGGACAUUGGGAUGGUAGAAAACCUGAUAAAAUGAGAGAGUUGGAAGACUUUACAUUGAGACUUCCCUUUUGUUGCUCUUAAACCCUGAGAACUCAUGGGAACAUCCUCAGGCCAGCCUGCUAGAUGAUGGAAGACCAGUGGAGGGAGGAUCUAGCGGUUUCACUGACUUGAUGUUAUGAACUGGCUCCCAGCUACCUGGAAGCAAAUUGUAGACACAUGAGGAAGCCGUGUUGUGAGCCACUGAGGCUGGCCCAGAUCAGAAGAGCUCCAGACUGACAACUUGAAAAAUUGUGAGCUGGUAAAUUGUCGCUCUUUUAAGACACGACAAUUUGGGGUCAUUUGUAACACAGCAAUACAUGACUGAUACAACUGUUAACUUGGCUGUUUCUCUCACCAGGCAUUGAGGGAAAUUCUCUGAGUCAUUUCAUCAUCAAGAGCAACUGCCAUAGGGUCUCACAUGUAGCUGUUAUAGUGUAAAUGUUUGCUGACUUCAUGGAUGAAUGAAUAAUAUGAAUUGUAAGUGAAUCAGCACAAAUUCAUGUGUGCAAGAAAACUUGAUAUUUCUUUAAAUAAACUGAAUUCCGACUCAGAGCUCUCGGCUUACAAAAUUGGGGUAAAAUUUUAACCUUACUUCUUUAUAGGGGUAUAUUUGGUGUUGGUUUAUUUUCUAGGUACCCCGGGGUCUAAAGAAGGACCAAGGUUUGGAGAUCUUUAACACACCCAUCGCCUCAGCCUAUGUGGGUGAUCUCUCUAGAAGCAUUGUCUCUGCUGCUUCCAUUCUCAGAUGGAGCAUGAGAACCUUGGCAGGGCUGGGAACACCAUAACGUGGUUUGUCUACUUGUGUGCCUGCAUUACCCUUUGAAGUGCUGCCACCUACCCCAGGGCAUUAUCAAGAAGCAGGCCUCACCCCUUCCCAAUGUGUAGGUCUCUGCUGUCUGACUCCCACUCUUCCCCUGGGUUCCAGUUCACUCAGUGUGAUUACUCCAAUGAGCUGAGACUCUUACAACAGACUCUUCAGAGUCUCGAAGUUUCAGGGCUUUAACUGUGUGUCUAAUUACCUCUUGAAAUGAGGUAGGGAAGGUUGAAAAACAUAGGAAGAUUUUAUUUUGAAUUUAAUGUUUCAAUAAAAUUUCUUGCCAUGCAUUUUCAAAUGGUUCUGCCUAACAAUUCCCUCUGUUCUCUUACAAGAUGCAGGACAAUGAAGAGGGAAUGUUUGUUGUGUCAUAAUCUCCAGGAUGCAAAGUGCACAUGGGGUCCAUUCCCCCCGAUGCUCACACUUGAGCACCACACCCACAUGGAAUCUCUGCAAGUGUUACUGAGUCCCUCACACAUCCACAGUGAACAACUUUCAGAUUCUCAUAAGCAGGAAUUAUUUGUGUCCUAAGACGAGGAACUCCUUGGAGACCCUACUGUGUCCUACAGGGUCACUGUGAGUCGGAAUCGACUGCAUGGCAUCAGGUUUUGUUUUUGCUUUUUGGGGGGUUGGUUGAUGUCAGCUGCAGGAUAGAGUUUAAAAAAAUGUUGACAGCAUAGCAGGUAAAACCAACCAAAUGAAACUGAAAUGAAAUGUCUUUUUCACACUUACUGACCUCACAGUUCCUUCAAAGUGUUUACUUUCCACUGGGUUCAGAGGCGAGAGACACAGCUUGGGACACCUCCAAAAUGAUACGUCUCCCUCCUGAUGUUAGGUAACAUUACAUACUGUUUGGCUGGUUUAUCAUCUGACUGUUCCACAAAAAUAGAAGGCCCAUGCAGGCAGGACCUUUCUGCUGUGUUGGUCAGAGUAUCCUGGUUCCUGGCACCUAAGAAGCUUCCAAAAAUGAUAUGUCUGAUUGAAUGAGUGGGUGGGUUUUUAUAAAAACCAUGGAAGAGUUCUGUUUAUGUAGUUACAAUAGUGAAAACAGGCAUAAGGAAAUGGAGACUAGGACUCGUAUAACUCAAAGUUAUGUAUAAUGAAAACAGAACUUGUUAAUGAAGAGAUAAAAAAAUAAGAUGUAUUAGUAGAAUGUACCCCUUCACUUUGGCUGGAGAAAGAGGUGGUAAAAUUGGGUUGUUUUCGCCUACUGAUUCAUAGGUUGUAUAUAUUUAAUUGAAAUGUUAGUCUUUCGGGAGUCACAAAUAUUUCUAUUGAGAUAUAAUUCACCCGCCAUAACAUUGCCUUUUAUAAUGUGCACAAUUCUGUGGUUUCUAGUAUAUGGACAGAGUUGUGCAACAAUCACCACUGUCUAGCUUCAGGAUAUUUUCAGUACCCUGUAAAUAAACGCCCUGCAUAUUAGUAGUCAUCCUCAUUACUCCUUUCCUUCAAGACGUACCAACUGCUAAUCUACAUUCUGUCUGUGUUGGUUUGUCUGUCCUGGAUAUUUCAUGUAAAUGGAAUCAUGUACCACGCAGUCAUUUCUGUUUGGCUUCUUUCACCUAGCAUAACGUUCUCAAGGUCUGUCCAUAUUGUGCCAUGUAUUAGUACCUGAUGCCUUUUAAUGGCUGAGUAAUAUUCCGUUUUACGAGUAUACCACAGUUUAUCUAUCAGUUCAUGACUUUUGGAUUCUCUCCACGUUUUGGCUAUUUAUAAAUAAUUCUACUAUGCAAAUUCUUUUGUAAGUUAUUAUGUGAACGUGCUUCAGUUGUCCUGGAUGCAUACCUAGGAAUGGGAUUGCUAUCUUGCAUGCUAACUCUAUGUUUACCUUUCUGAGCAAGUACCUAACUGUUUUCCAAAGCGAUUGGAUCAUGUUACAUGUCCACCAGCAAUGUAUGAGGGUUCCAGUUUCUCCACAUCCUCACCACUUGUGUUGUCCAUCCUAUUGAUUUGAGCCAUCUUAGUGGUUUUGAAAUAAUAGUGCGUUUUGGUUUUGAUUCGCAUUUCCCUAAUGACUAAUGAGGUUGAGCUUCUUUUCAUGUGAUUAUUGACCAUUUCUAUACCUUCUUUGGAGAAAUGUCUAUUCAAAUCCUUAGCCUAUGAAUUUUUCUUCAGAUUUUUACCUGUAUUUUUGCUUUCUUCAUAUAGUUUUUGAUAUGCCUAACAUCUAUAUCUGUAUCUUACCAGUUUUAACCUUCACAGCUUUGGGAUUUUUAGAAAAUCUUUCUCUUUUACCAAUAAAAAGCAAAACAAAAUCUCUCAUAGUUUCUUCUGAAAUUUCUAUGGUGGCAUAUUUUACUUUUGAAUAUGUGAUCCUUUUGGAAUUUCGUUUCCUGAAAGCUGUGAGAAAAAGGAUGAAAAUAUUUUUACAGGUGAUCUAAAUGAUUACCAAAUUGCUGCAAGCACUCCUUUUUGCCUUUUUGCAUAAGCCAUAUCUUAACUGCAUUUUCCCAUAUUCCAUAUGGAAAAACAUUUUUACAGAAGGAGGCCCGCCAUUUCCAGCCAUUUCAUUUUAAGGUUUUGCUUUGCUGGAAUAGAAAUCCCUUCGAUACCUUUUCUACACAGCUGUUCUCAUAGCCAAUAAAAAUUUUGUGUGAGUAGGACUCCUGUGAAUUUAUAAGAUGAAGUUGAAUUUUAUAACUGGUUCCAUGUGGUGCAGCCCAGCAGAAGGACAGACAGAAGCAGUAGCUCCAGAGGGAACAGAAGCUAUAAGAACAUGAGCCUCUAGAGAUUUGCUGCUGCAUUUCACAGAAAGCUCUAGACUUUUCUUUAUAAGCUUAUCAUUAUAUAUGGCCAUCACCUUAGAACAGACGAGAAUAGUGCUUUUUAAGUGAGGCAUUCAGGACAGGACUGGAGAAAAAUGUAGAACAAAAUCCUAAUUCAAAAAAAAAAAGCAAAACCCAGAAUUGCUAGCUUGACAGAGACUGGAGAAACCCUGAGAAUAUGACCCCCAGACAUCCUUUUUUAGCUCAAUAAUGAAGUCACUCCUGAGGUUCACCCUUAACCAAAGAUUAGACAGGCCCAUAAAACAAAAUGAGACUCCUGGGGCAUACCAGCCCAGGAAGAAGGACUAGAAGGCAGGAGAGGACAGGAAAGCUGGUAAUAGGGAACCCAAGUUUAAGAAGAGAGGGUAUUGACAUAUCUUGAAGUUGGUAAACAAUGUCGUAAAACAAUAUAUGUCCUAACUGUUUAAUGAGAAGCUACUUUGCUCAGUAAACCUUCAUCUAAAGAACCGUUAAAAACAAAAGUUAGGCAUUCAGAAGGAGGGUGUUCAUUCCCUAGGAAAUAGUUAGACUUAUGUGUUCUGGUGAACAUAUGUACCCAUUUCUACUGGGUAUGUAUCUAGAAGUAGAAUUGCUUGGUCAUAGAAUAUAUGGAUGUUCACAGCUGUAGUAGAUAUGGCCAAAGCAUUUUUAAAGUGGUUGUACCAAAUUACACUUUCACUAGCAGUAGAAUAGAAUUCCAGUUGCUCCAUGUUCUACCAAAUAGUUGGUGUUUCCAUUUUUUUUUUUUUUAUUUUAGCCAUUCUGGUGUGCAGGGUUAGGAUCACAUUGUGAGUUUUUAUUAGAAUUCCUCUGAUAACUGAUGUAGUCCCUUUCCAUAUGUAUGCUGGCCAUACAGAAAUCUUUUAUAGAGCGUUCAAGUAUUUACUUGGCUUUCUAUUGAAUUCUUCUUUUUUUUUCUUUAUGAAUCAUCCUUUGUAUAUUCUGGAACCAAGUUUGUAGUAGGAUGUAUGUAUUGCAAAUAACUUCUGCUUCCACAUGAAUUCACCCUUGUAGCUUGUCAUCAACUUUCAAAUUAAAAAGCAUGCCUUUUACAAAAACAGGCAAAUGUAUAGAGACGAAAGUUUAUAAGGGUUCCCAGGGGCAGGAGGGAGGGAAUAAAGGGGUGUUAUUGCAUAUGGAAACUGAGUUUCUGUUUACAAUGAUUGAAAAAUCACACUGAUUAAGGGUAGGGUUGCACAACCGAUUAAUUCCUUUUAAUAGUGUGUACACCUGUACAACUCGUUCACUUGGCAAAGGUUUGUGUUAUAUUUACAUCAACAACAAAAAUGUAUAGCUGCUGAGGCAAAAUGAUAGUACUGAAUUGAUGAGAUGUAUUCUUUUAUUAUACUCUUCUCUAUUUUCUCAUUUGUUUUUAUAAGAAGUUACUGUUAAAAUCAAAGGAAAUAAAACGUUUGCAUGAUGAAAGUGGACAGCAAUGACUAUUCCACCCAUUGUGUCCCUCUGAAGUUUAAAUGAGGAACUACAUGCCUCCAGCAGACGCCCAGCCUUACUUAGCACUCAGGAAAUAUUCAUUUCUCCCUCUCCUCUGACUCAUGGUCUUCUCCCCUUGUUUAUUUGCUCUUUUCUGUUUCCAACUGGCUGCAUAUGACCACCAGGCUUCCUGACUCCAUCAUUCUGCUUUCCAUACCAAUGUUAUUGUAACCUUGGGAUCUUGGGCAGUGGUGAAAGUUACACACUGUCCCUGCUAUUACGAAGGGGACAAGGCAGUGCAGGUGGGAGGGGCAGUGGGGAAAUUCGGCUUAGAGAAAGGACAGACCACCUUCCAGGAACCACACUGACCUUCAGAGAGCUUUGUUGGCUGUGGUUCACCUGGCCAGCUUGUAGGCGUCAGGGUGCCCUAGGGCUCGGUGUUUAGUCCUCUCUCUCUAUUGACACCCUCUGUCUGGAAUGCCUCAGUGUGUCCACAGCCAUUGGUCUGUAGCUGAGGACGUGAGAUUUACACCUCCAGCCAUUUCAGCUCCUCCUGGGUGCAGACUUAUAGUCAAAUAUCAGCUUAAAUCUCUGUAUCGGCCUCUUCAUGUAUAAAAUGUGCAUUAUAAUGGUACAUUCCUCAUAGGGCUAUCAUGCAGAACAAAUAUCUUAGGAAAGGAGAAGCCCUUACAAGAAUCCCAGCACCAGCGCAUGUACUCAGUAAGUGUUAGCUGUUAGUAUUAU